AAUGAACGUUAGCGGCGCGCCUGAUGCAUGCAAGUCGAACGGUCUAUUGUUUCGCAAGGAGUAAUAGAUAGUGGCGAACGGCUGAGUAACGCGUAAGUAACCUACCUCUAAGUGGGGAAUAACCUGUCGAAAGGCAAGUUAAUACCGCAUGUGCUAACUUGUGAAAACUUGUUCGUAAAGCCUUCGGGCGCUUGGAGACGGGCUUGCGUCUGAUUAGCUAGUUGGUUGGGGUAAUGGCCUACCAAGGCGAUGAUCAGUAGCUGGUCUGAGAGGACGACCAGCCAGACAGGGACUGAGACACGGCCCUGACUCCUACGGGAGGCAGCAGCAAGGAAUUUUGCGCAAUGGGCGAAAGCCUGACGCAGCGACGCCGCGUGAGGGAUGAAGGCCUUCGGGUUGUAAACCUCUUUUCCUGAGGAAGAAUUAUGACGGUACUCAGGGAAUAAGUCUUGGCUAACUACGUGCCAGCCGCCGCAGUAA
Molecule: ribosomal RNA, 480 nt
Filed under: uncultured bacterium
Lineage: Bacteria
Description: partial 16S ribosomal RNA
Rfam family: Bacterial small subunit ribosomal RNA
Source: RNAcentral